Molecule: long non-coding RNA, 382 nt
Organism: Chiroxiphia lanceolata (lance-tailed manakin)
Lineage: Eukaryota; Metazoa; Chordata; Aves; Passeriformes; Pipridae
Exons: 3
Source: RefSeq, a predicted model, not a curated record
GAUCACAUGGGUGGCACCAACAUCCACUCCUGAAAUUCUCAUUCGCUUAUAGAGACAAUACCAUUAGAUUAUUAUAUUUUCCUUUUGGAAUAGCAAUAGGCUCAAAGCAAUUAUGCAGCUAAGCGUUUCCAUUAAGCGAAUAGGGCCUUAAAGAAGAUUAACUGGAGCUUCUCCGGCGUUCAGUAUAAAGGUCUCACAUUUUCUGAAGAUCAAAAAUUACGCCUGCCAAGUGAUGCAAGCAAUGCAACACCCAUCUUCAGCCGCACUGCAGGACCAUUGCUGCUGGAGCAAUUCCAAUGUGUUUAGACAUUAACCUUCAUACAGAUCCACUACAAUGGAACCAUUAUCUGAUUACAGGGAAGGGCCAAAUGAUCAAUCAGAG